RNAcentral lists this ribosomal RNA (230 nucleotides) under uncultured bacterium. RNAcentral describes it as "partial 16S ribosomal RNA". It matches the Rfam family "Bacterial small subunit ribosomal RNA", at positions 103 to 334 of the family's 1533-position model. The record is from RNAcentral.
CGGGUGAGUAAUGUAUGGGGAUCUGCCUGAUGGGGGGGGAGUAACUACUGGAAACGGUAGCUAAUACCGCAUAAUGUCUGCGGACCAAAGCGGGGGACCGUCCGGGCCUCGCGCCAUCAGAUGAACCCAUAUGGGAUUAGCUAGUAGGUAAGGUAACGGCUUACCUAGGCGACGAUCCCUAGCUGGUCUGAGAGGAUGAUCAGCCACACUGGGACUGAGACACGGCCCAG